Long non-coding RNA from Limanda limanda (common dab), 330 nucleotides. RefSeq lists it as uncharacterized. NCBI's taxonomy places the organism in Eukaryota, Metazoa, Chordata, Actinopteri, Pleuronectiformes, Pleuronectidae. The transcript has 3 exons. The record is from RefSeq and is a predicted model, not a curated record.
GCUGAGCAGACAUGGAGGCCCGCGGAACGAGGGAGGCCCGAGCCCACACGUCCCGGCCCAGCUAACCCUAACCCGGGAGCGGAUUAUUCGCAGCACCGGCGUGGGGGGGGAGACACCACGACCACCAGUCGCUCACUUGGAAGAUAAACUAUGUGGCCACCACGUUGAUACACACGAAGGGAGGACACAGAGCUAAAUAAUGUGAACACCGUUUCUGGACAAUUACACAGUUGAAGGACGGAGAAAGAGGGCUGGACAGCCGAGGAAGGGAGAGAAGCCGCCUCAAAUCAAGGAGAGCUUCACCCUCACCGUUACCCCCCCCUCCCCCCU